This 671-nucleotide long non-coding RNA is filed under the name Homo sapiens (human). Its description in RNAcentral is "HSALNT0399429". The record is from RNAcentral. Lineage: Eukaryota; Metazoa; Chordata; Mammalia; Primates; Hominidae.
ACUUAGAUUAACCCCCUACAGCCUCUGGCAGGAACAAAGGCAUGGAUGAAAGAGAGAGGAGCGUGGUGAUACAAAGCUGACUGCAGAGACACAUGGCUUCUGCCAAUGCCAGAGGAACAGGGCAAAGUUCAGCAUCAUCCUCUCUGCUGAAAUAACCAACAUGGUGCUCAUUAAUUGGUCAUGUGAGCACUAAGGAUAACCACCCUCCCCUCCUCAAUCAGGAUCACAAAUGCUAGCUUUCAUAUGGAUUUCAAGCUGGGUGAAAUGACUUUUUUUGCUUGUAAAGAAGAAAUGAUGAUGGAGGUCUCAUCAGGAAGUGAUGCAGAAGACUGGGACAGCAUAUCUCAAAAAUCAAGAUGAAUCCUUAAGCUUUCUACCCAGAUGUUGUGGGAACUUGAAGACAAAGUCUCAAAGAGACUCCGUUUUGGUCAACAAUUAGCCCUUCCACAUUUGGAUCCUGGGCCACAUGUGGAAAUAAAGAGUUCCAGAAGAAUUCUCCCAUGAAGGCAUUGGAAUGCUUCAAUACAUAGUUUUGUGCCAAAUCUACAAUAAUCUUCCCAAAAGAAAGACUCUUCAGUGUUCUGGAUUUUUCGGGACUUAUCUUAUUUUCUUGUGCAACAUCUUAACACAAACUAGAAUAAAGAUGACAUAUAAUCAUCUGCAUUCAUGAA